CCCCUCUCAAGAUUGCACCUGGAGAGAUUCCAGUCCUCUGCCAGUCUCGGCUGUUGGAGGGUGAGUCAAGCAGAGGCCUGUCCAUUCCGUUCCUAGCUUGGGCAGUGGCUAGCGAGCGGAAGGCAAUCCGCUACAAGU
Molecule: small nucleolar RNA, 138 nt
Organism: Ornithorhynchus anatinus (platypus)
Lineage: Eukaryota; Metazoa; Chordata; Mammalia; Monotremata; Ornithorhynchidae
Source: RefSeq, a predicted model, not a curated record